CUGUACAUCUUGCUUAGUCAACCUGCCAAUUUGCAACCAGAUUUCAGAUUUCAGAAGAAAACACCCAUUAUUGAAGAAUUCUUUGAGGAAUUUGUAAUGGCUGUACAAAGAACAAAGCCACACCCUUUGGGUUAGCUUUCCAUUGCUCCUUUUCUUCAAACAAUUGUCUGUGACUUUAUCUGGAAGCAACAUUAGAAGAUUGAUUGACUGACUUUGGCAAAUGUUUUAGAGGUGCAUCUUGAUUCUUGGCUCUGGUUAUUAGCUAAUCUUCUUGUGUCAAUGUCAAUGUGGAAAUGGCCAAUGUGUGGGAUACCAGCUGGAAGGAGAAAGAAGAUGGUUAGGGUUUUGAUCCAAAUAGUGGGGAUACUAUGCUUGUGGUGGUGGUGGGCUUCACUGGCAGAUGCAGAGUACAUGACAUACAAAGACCCAAACCAAAUGGCGGCAGUUCGGGUUAAGGACUUGUUGAGCCGAAUGAGUUUGGAGGAGAAGAUUGGUCAGAUGGUUCAGAUUGACAGGACUGUGGCCAAUGCUGAGGUUAUGAAGUCCUACUUCAUUGGCAGUGUAUUGAGUGGUGGUGGGAGUGUACCACUACCAAAGGCUAGUGCAGAGGAUUGGAUUAAUAUGAUUAAUGAAUAUCAGAAAGGGUCUCUGUCGACUCGUUUGGGCAUUCCAAUGAUCUAUGGCAUUGAUGCUGUUCAUGGACACAAUAAUGUCUAUAAUGCUACAAUAUUUCCUCAUAACAUUGGUCUUGGAGCUGCGAGGGAUCCUGACCUGGUGCGGAGGAUUGGUGCUGCAACUGCUGCUGAAGUCAGAGCCACAGGAAUUCCUUAUGUCUUUGCUCCAUGCAUUGCGGUCUGUAGAGAUCCAAGGUGGGGACGGUGUUAUGAAAGCUACAGUGAGGAUCCCAAAAUUGUGCAAGAAAUGACGGAAAUUAUUCCUGGAUUACAAGGAGAUAUUCCUGCUAAUUCUCGGAAGGGAGUUCCAUAUGUUGGUGGAAAGAAUAAGGUGGCAGCUUGUGCAAAGCACUUUGUGGGAGAUGGUGGGACAACCAAGGGCGUCAAUGAGAAGAACACAGUGAUUGACUGGCAUGGUUUGCUCAGCAUUCACAUGCCUGGCUAUUCUGAUUCCGUUGUCAAGGGUGUAUCUACAGUUAUGGUCUCGUACUCCAGCUGGAAUGGAGUAAAGAUGCAUGCGAACCAUGAACUAGUUACUGGCUUUCUGAAAGACACUCUUAAAUUUAAGGGUUUUGUUAUCUCAGAUUGGGAGGGUAUUGAUAGAAUUACCACACCACCACAUUCCAACUACUCAUACUCUGUCGAAGCUGCAAUUCAAGCUGGCAUCGACAUGGUCAUGAUCCCUUUCAAAUAUGCUGAGUUCAUUGAUGAACUUACCCAGCUGGUCAAGAACAACAUUAUACCAAUGGAUCGUAUCGACGAUGCUGUGGCGAGGAUUUUACUUGUCAAGUUCAGCAUGGGUCUCUUUGAGAACCCCCUGGCUGAUUUCAGCCUAGUCAAUGAACUUGGAAGCCAGCCACACAGAGACUUGGCAAGAGAAGCUGUGAGGAAAUCACUAGUGCUACUGAAGAAUGGGGAAAACAGAACAAAUGGACUACUACCCCUUUCCAAGAAGGCUCCGAAGAUCCUAGUUGCUGGUAGUCAUGCUGAUAAUUUGGGUUAUCAGUGUGGUGGGUGGACAAUCAAUUGGCAAGGAUUUAGUGGCAACAACUAUACUAGGGGAACCACCAUCCUUGGUGCCAUCACUUCAACAGUUGACCCAAGCACAGACAUUGUCUACCGUGAGAAUCCUGAUGCCGACUUUGUCAAGUCUAACAGCUUUGAAUAUGCCAUUGUUGUUGUUGGAGAGCGCCCUUAUGCUGAGAGUUUAGGGGACAGCAUGACCCUCACUAUGGUGGAUCCUGGCCCAAACAUCAUUAAGAAUGUUUGUGAGGCUGUCAAGUGUGUGGUUGUCAUCAUUUCUGGCAGACCUAUUGUAAUUGAACCAUAUCUUUCCUCAAUUAAUGCCCUGGUGGCAGCAUGGUUACCAGGAACUGAGGGCCAAGGUGUGACUGAUGUCCUUUUUGGAGACUAUGGAUUUAGCGGAAAGCUUCCCAGAACAUGGUUCAGAACUGCUGAUCAACUGCCAAUGAAUGUUGGGGAUUCACACUAUGAUCCGCUUUUUCCAUUAGGGUUUGGGGUCAUGACUGAGUCUGUUAAGGACCUUGUGAAUAGGUCAACUUCAGCUGGUGUUGGUGAAAAGUCAUAUAUACUUACCAUUAUGGUUUCUGUAAUUAUCAGUUUGUAUUUCUCAGCUUCGAGCGGCUGGCUACAAAAAAAGUAAUUGGAUUUUUUCAAGGGUUUAGCCCUUAAAAGUACACUGGAUGCUCUUGAAGCACAAGGAUUUCUACUUUGAAAGAGUGCCAAGACUAUUGGAAUUUCUUGGAUAACAUGUUUUCAGAGACUUCCUAUGCACCAAGAUUUUUCAAACUUCCAACUUCCGUUGGAAGGGCAACAGUCAAAUGGUGUUUAGACAAGUCCAAAAAGAUGCUUUAGGAUGAAUGUUAUAUUAUUUGUGGAGGUAUGGUGCUCCACUCAAAUUCUUAUUUUUAAACGUCCACAAUUAUCAAGCUUUGGCACUUACCUA
This is an RNA transcript of Corylus avellana, 2640 nucleotides long. RefSeq lists it as uncharacterized. The record is from RefSeq and is a predicted model, not a curated record. NCBI's taxonomy places the organism in Eukaryota, Viridiplantae, Streptophyta, Magnoliopsida, Fagales, Betulaceae.